Oryza sativa Japonica Group (Japanese rice) is the source of this 3638-nucleotide non-coding RNA. NCBI's taxonomy places the organism in Eukaryota, Viridiplantae, Streptophyta, Magnoliopsida, Poales, Poaceae. The record is from RefSeq and is a predicted model, not a curated record.
CCAGAAGAGAAUCCUAGCAGCCAUAUAUACUUCUGCACUCUAUAAAUGGCCUAACACACACAGAGACAGUAGUAGUUCAAUAAGUUCACACACUUGACACUUGAGAUAGCUAACGAGUGAGAGACUGAGACGUGGUCCUAGUGAACUAUCGAUAGUCGUCCGUCGAUCAUGGGUCUUGUUCUGACCUUGCUAGUGCUGCUGGUGAUCAUGUCGUCGUCUACGUCAACCACGGUGGCGGAGCAUCACCGGAUCAGGAGCAACGACACCGACCUCGCCGCGCUGCUUGCCUUCAAGGCUCGGGUCUCUGACCCUCUGGGCUUCCUGCGUGACGGCUGGAGGGAGGACAAUGCAUCCUGCUUCUGCCAGUGGAUCGGCGUGUCGUGCAGCCGCCGCCGGCAGCGCGUCACCGCCCUGCAGCUGCCGGGCGUUCCCCUCCAAGGGACGCUCACCCCUCACCUCGGUAACCUCUCUUUCCUCAUCGUCCUCAACCUCGCCAACACCAGCCUCACGGGGACACUCCCGGGUGAUAUAGGAAAGCUGCAUCGCCUGGAGCUCCUUGAUCUUGGCUACAAUGCCCUGUCAGGUAACAUUCCAGCCACCAUAGGAAACCUCACCAAACUUGAGCUUCUUGAUCUCCAGUUUAACCGGCUAUCUGGUCCAAUCCCAGCAGAGCUGCAGGGCCUGCGAAGCCUUGGCAGCAUGAAUCUCCGUAGGAACUAUCUCAGUGGCUCAAUUCCAGUUAGUGUAUUCAACAACACGCCUUUGUUAGCCUAUCUCAACAUUGGCAACAACAGUCUGUCAGGGCUAAUACCCACUGCGAUUGGCUCCUUGUCCAUGCUCCAGGUCCUUGUUCUUCAGUACAAUCAAUUGUCCGGCUCACUGCCCCCAACCAUCUUCAACAUGUCUAGACUUGAAAAGCUGCAGGCCAGUGACAACAAUCUGUCUGGACCUAUCCCAUUCCCAACUGGAAACCAAAGCACGAUUCAGUUGAUCUCACUCGCUUUCAACAGUUUCACGGGCCGAAUUCCACCAAGACUUGCGGCAUGCCGGGAACUCCAGCUGCUUGCGAUUUCAGGGAAUCUCUUGACGGAUCAUGUGCCGGAAUGGCUAGCAGGCUUGUCUCAGCUAAGUUCCAUCUCUCUUGCUGCAAAUGACCUUGUCGGUACGGUCCCAGCUGUGCUAAGCAAUCUCACCAAGCUCACCGUGCUUGAUCUGUCAUAUUCCAAGCUAAGUGGGAUGAUUCCAUUGGAACUAGGAAAGUUGAUACAGCUCAAUAUCUUGCACCUAUCAGCUAAUCAGCUAACUGGUCCUUUUCCUACUUCCCUUGGUAACUUGACAAAAUUAUCUUUGCUAGCAUUAGAUAGGAACCUGCUGACUGGACCACUACCUGUGACCCUUGGGAACCUCAGAUCUCUGUACCACCUUCAUAUUGCAGAAAAUCAUCUGCAAGGGGAACUUGAUUUCUUAGCCUAUCUCUCCAAUUGUAGGAAACUCCAAUUCCUCGAUAUAUCAAUGAAUUCUUUCUCAGGGAGCAUUCCUUCGAGUCUACUUGCAAACCUCUCUAUCAAUUUACUAAAGUUUUUUGCAGAAGAUAACAACUUGACCGGCAGUAUUCCUGCUACCAUAUCAAAUCUGACUAACCUGAAUCAAAUAAGCCUUGCUGACAACCAAAUAAGCGGCACUAUUUAUUGGAGAACCUACAGGAAUUGCACCUCUCUAUGAACAGUUUGUUUGGACCAAUUCCAGGACAAAUUGGAACCCUAAAAGGCAUGGUCACAUUAUCUCUUGGUGGCAACAAAAUUUCUAGUUCCAUCCCUAACGGUGUUGGCAACCUAAGCACGUUGCAGUACUUAUCGCUGUCAUAUAACUGGCUAUCAUCAUAUAUACCCGCAAGCUUAGUUAAUCUUAGUAAUCUUCUCCAACUAGAUAUAUCUCAUAAUAACUUAACUGGUGCAUUGCCUUCUGAUCUCAGCCCCUUGAAAGCAAUAGCCGGAAUGGACAUCUCUGCAAAUAAUUUGGUUGGUAGCCUCCCAACUUCAUGGGGACAGCUCCAACUGUUAAGCUACCUGAAUCUAUCUCAAAACACAUUCAAUGAUUUAAUUCCAGACUCUUUCAAAGGUCUAGUUAAUUUAGAAACAUUGGACCUGUCUCAUAACAAUCUUUCAGGAGGCAUACCAAAAUACUUUGCCAACUUAACCUUUCUUACUUCUCUGAACCUCUCCUUUAACAAUCUACAAGGUCAGAUACCAAGUGGAGGUGUUUUUUCAAACAUCACUCUGCAAUCUUUAAUGGGAAAUGCUAGACUCUGUGGUGCUCAACAUUUGGGAUUUCCUGCCUGUCUGGAGAAGUCCCACUCGACUAGAAGAAAACACUUGCUGAAGAUUGUGCUCCCUGCUGUCAUUGCGGCGUUUGGUGCCAUUGUUGUGUUACUAUACCUAAUGAUUGGAAAGAAAAUGAAGAAUCCAGAUAUUACGGCUUCUUUUGACACGGCAGAUGCGAUUUGCCACAGGCUAGUGUCCUACCAAGAAAUUGUUCGCGCUACCGAAAAUUUCAACGAGGACAACCUACUUGGAGUUGGAAGUUUUGGCAAAGUUUUCAAGGGUCGGCUGGACGACGGUUUGGUGGUUGCAAUCAAAAUCCUCAACAUGCAGGUUGAACGAGCUAUUAGGAGUUUUGAUGCAGAGUGCCAUGUCUUGCGGAUGGCCAGACAUCGCAACCUGAUAAAGAUACUGAAUACAUGUUCCAACUUAGAUUUCAGAGCACUGUUUCUUCAGUUCAUGCCCAAUGGAAACUUGGAGUCAUACUUGCACUCUGAAAGCAGGCCUUGUGUGGGAUCAUUCCUCAAAAGGAUGGAGAUUAUGCUAGAUGUGUCAAUGGCUAUGGAAUAUCUGCAUCAUGAACACCAUGAGGUCGUCCUGCAUUGUGAUUUGAAACCUAGCAAUGUGCUAUUUGAUGAAGAGAUGACUGCACACGUAGCAGACUUUGGCAUAGCAAAGAUGUUGUUAGAGGACGACAAUUCAGCAGUUUCAGCAAGCAUGCCAGGCACAAUUGGGUACAUGGCGCCAGAGUAUGCACUCAUGGGAAAGGCAUCACGGAAGAGCGAUGUGUUCAGCUUCGGAAUAAUGCUACUCGAGGUGUUCACUGGGAAGAGGCCUACAGAUCCCAUGUUCAUUGGUGGAUUGACCCUGAGGCUGUGGGUUUCUCAAUCAUUUCCUAAGAAUCUUAUUGAUGUUGCCGAUGAGCACCUACUGCAAGACGAAGAAACACGUCUUUGUUUUGAUUACCAGAACACUUCAUUGGGAUCUUCUUCGACUAGCAGGAGUAACAGCUUCCUUACGUCGAUAUUUGAGCUAGGCCUGUUGUGUUCGAGUGAGUCACCUGAGCAGAGGAUGGCUAUGAACGAUGUAGUUUCAAAGCUGAAAGGGAUCAAGAAAGAUUACUCUGCAUCUAUGCUGGAAAUGCAGAGGCGUCGGCAAUACUAGAUCAACCAUGUGUCGAUGUAAUUAACUCUGUAAAUUUUUCUUUGCUUUUCUUUGUUCCUUAAUGAAAUUGGCCGUCCAUCCUUUGGCCGGCCUGGCAAAAAAAUACUAGAUCAACCAGUCUAUAAUAUAUACGGCAGUGCAUAUGCGUUUUCCAUA